CCUCCUUCCUUAAACCUUGAAUUAGAGAUUAAUUUAAAUCAUUUAAACAUUAAGGCUGAACCUCCUUCACUCCCCUGAAGUCCUAAAGCUGGCAAAAAAAAGAGUUAAGGGUUAAAGGAGUGCCUGAAUUGUUCUAAACAAAAGUCCUGGUUUGCUUUACAACUGAAACCUGAAAACAAACACCCUGGGGACAAAUUUAACUUCAAUGGGACAGAGCAGAUUAUUGUGAGCACUGACAAGGAUGAAGUCUAGUGCACCGUUAGAAGAAAUCCUGUGGCCGUAUUCGACUUAUUGAAAAAUAAAUUUAGUUGAUACAA
This is a long non-coding RNA of Eurytemora carolleeae, 317 nucleotides long. RefSeq lists it as uncharacterized. NCBI's taxonomy places the organism in Eukaryota, Metazoa, Arthropoda, Copepoda, Calanoida, Temoridae. The transcript has 3 exons. The record is from RefSeq and is a predicted model, not a curated record.